UUGUCUUCCUACUUCCUUUCAUAGGUAAGAUAUAUUUCUACGGCUUAUUUAAGCCUCACAUAAAGUUAUGUAGCAUGCUUUUCUUUACCUUGCCCAACACUCACAAUAAGAAAUCAUAAAAUCUGCAACAUUAUUUUAGAGGUAUUUUUUAAAAUUACCAAGAAAGAACACUCUGUCCCAUAUUGUGAUAAAUAAUCUAGUAUUAGUUUGUCGCUCAUCUUUAUUUGUCUUAAUAAGCCAAAAAUACUCUUCAAAUACAUGACUAAUUGACACAAAAUAAGAAUACCGGUUAAGAGUAUACAUUAAUACCAAGUUUAACUUAAACCUUAAAUAAGGAUGCACA
Molecule: long non-coding RNA, 343 nt
Filed under: Elaeis guineensis (African oil palm)
Lineage: Eukaryota; Viridiplantae; Streptophyta; Magnoliopsida; Arecales; Arecaceae
Description: long non-coding RNA (EGUI_LNC001840)
Source: RNAcentral